AAAUAUUUUACCAACGCUAAAAGCUAUCGGUUUACAAGGACAAGAAUAACGUCGUACGUAGUUCGAGGUGCAUCGAAGAGAAAUGUGGUGUCGCAAGAGGAAGGUCUUCUAAGAGCGGGCCAUUUCUCAGUGUGUUACUCGUGCAGCUCAUUCGUUUUCACCGUCCCGAACCGGCGUAGCCGUCGUUCCUGACACUGUGAUAAACAGCCGCCUCUGUCCCAUAAAGGGAAAUUAAUGUUCUGGAUGGUAAUGGUAAAUGGGGUGGAAAGAAGACAAGAAAUCGUAAGAUAAACGACAUCGGGAUGUGCCGAAGGCUUGUGGCAUCUUUUAUCGACGAAAAGAAACGAAAGGAGAAAAAAAGAAACUUUGCGAGUGUGAGAAGAUAUCGAAAUUUGGUGUUAACUUUUGACCUUGGCUUAAAGGUCAAUCUGAGAAGAUAAUCCUUAAAGGUUUUCCUUCUCGCAAACUGUUUUUAUUCGACAAUUCGUCUUGUUUAACGGAUAAGCAAAAGAAAUAUGCACGCUCAGAUGUAUUAAAUUUAUGU
This 544-nucleotide long non-coding RNA is filed under the name Polistes fuscatus (common paper wasp). RNAcentral describes it as "uncharacterized LOC122516589". The record is from RNAcentral. Lineage: Eukaryota; Metazoa; Arthropoda; Insecta; Hymenoptera; Vespidae.